This 497-nucleotide ribosomal RNA is filed under the name uncultured bacterium. RNAcentral describes it as "partial 16S ribosomal RNA". It matches the Rfam family "Bacterial small subunit ribosomal RNA", at positions 28 to 507 of the family's 1533-position model. The record is from RNAcentral.
GAUGAACGCUGGCGGCGUGCCUAACACAUGCAAGUCGAACGAACAGUUGAGGAGCUUGCUUUCCGGCCGUUAGCGGCGGAUGGGUGAGCAACCCGUGGAUAACCUAGCUAUUAGACUGGGACAACCACGGGAAACACAAGCGAAUACGGGAGAUUAUAUUGAACCGCAUGGCUCAACAGUGAAAGACGGUUUUGCUGACACUGAUAGAUGGAGACGCGCCGCAUUAGCUAGUUGGUAAGGUAACGGCUUACCAAGGCAACGAUGCGUAGCCGACCUGAGAGGGUGAACCGACACACGAGAACUGAGACACGGUCCAGACUCCUGCGGGAGGCAGCAGUAGGGAAUCCUCCGCGAUGGGCGAAAGCGUGACGGAGCAACGCCGCGUGAGUGAUGAAGGUCUGCGGAUCGUAAAACUCUGUUAUUAGGGAAGAACAAAUGUGUAAGCAGCAAUGCACGUCUUGACGGUACCUGAGCAGGAAGCCCCGGCUAACUACGUG